RNAcentral lists this ribosomal RNA (494 nucleotides) under uncultured bacterium. RNAcentral describes it as "bacterial SSU rRNA". It matches the Rfam family "Bacterial small subunit ribosomal RNA", at positions 28 to 520 of the family's 1533-position model. The record is from RNAcentral.
GACGAACGCUGGCGGCGUGCUUAAUACAUGCAAGUCAACUGAACUUAGGAUAGCAAUAUUUUAAGGGAGGUGGCGCACGGGUGAGUAACACGUAGGUAAUCUGCCUUUAGGUCUGACAUAACCUACCGAAAGGUAGGCUAAAAUCAGAUGAUGCAGCGGCUCGACAUCGAGACAGUUGUUAAAUCUUCGGAGCCUAAAGAUGAGCCUGCGUCUGAUUAGGUAGUUGGCGGUGUAAUGGACCACCAAGCCUGCGAUCAGUAGCUGGUCUGAGAGGAUGAUCAGCCACACUGGAACUGAGACACGGUCCAGACUCCUACGGGAGGCAGCAGUAAGGAAUAUUGUUCAAUGGCCGAAAGGCUGAAGCAGCAACGCCGCGUGGAGGAUGAAAUACUUUGUAUGUAAACUCCUGUAAGAAGGGAAAAUAGUUACCGAUUCAUCGGAAUUGAUUGUACCUUCAGAGUAAGCCCGGCUAACUACGUGCCAGCAGCCGACGG